Molecule: unclassified non-coding RNA, 336 nt
Filed under: soil metagenome
Description: partial contains 5.8S ribosomal RNA, internal transcribed spacer 2, and large subunit ribosomal RNA
Rfam family: 5.8S ribosomal RNA (bases 2-119)
Source: RNAcentral
GUGAAGAACGCAGCGAAAUGCGAUAAGUAAUGUGAAUUGCAGAAUUCAGUGAAUCAUCGAAUCUUUGAACGCACAUUGCGCCCGCCAGUAUUCUGGCGGGCAUGCCUGUUCGAGCGUCAUUUCAACCAUCAAGCCCCCCGGCUUGUGUUGGGGACCUGCGGCUGCCGCAGGCCCUGAAAAGCAGUGGCGGGCUCGCUGUCACACCGAGCGUAGUAGAUCUCAUCUCGCUCAGGGCGUGCUGCGGGUUCCGGCCGUUAAACCACCUUCAUAACCCAAGGUUGACCUCGGAUCAGGUAGGAAGACCCGCUGAACUUAAGCAUAUCAAUAAGCGGAGGA